AUUUUGCACAAUGGGGGCAACCCUGAACCAGCCAUGCCGCGUGUGUGAAGAAGGUCUUCGGGUUGUAAAGCACUUUAAGUAGGGAGGAAGGGCUUUCGGUUAAUACCCAGAAGUCUUUACGUUACCAAUAGAAUAAGCACCGGCUAACCCUGUUCCAGCAGCCGCGGUAAUACAGAGGGUGCAAGCGUUAAUAGGCAUUACUGGGCGUAAAGCGCGCGUAGGUGGUUCAGUAAGAUGGGUGUGAAAACCCCGGGCUUAACCUGGGAACUGCUUUCAUGAAUACUGAGCUAGAGUACGGUAGAAGGUAAUAGAAUUUCCUGUGUAGCGGUGAAAUGCGUAGAUAUAGGAAGGAACACCAGUGGCGAAGGCGACUACCUGGACUGAUACUGACACUGAGGUGCGAAAGCGUGGGGAGCAAAC
Molecule: ribosomal RNA, 420 nt
Filed under: uncultured bacterium
Lineage: Bacteria
Description: partial 16S ribosomal RNA
Rfam family: Bacterial small subunit ribosomal RNA
Source: RNAcentral